AGUAUCUGAAAUAAAAUACAAAGAUUGUUUAAGACUGAAGAAUUUAUUUUGCUACUCAGGUCAGUUCAAGGACACAGUCCAUAGUGACAGGUCAGUUCAAGGACACAGUCCAUAGUGACAGGUCAGUUCAAGGACACAGUCCAUCAUGACAGGUCAGUUCAAGGACACAGUCCAUCAUGACAGGUCAGUUCAAGGACACAGUCCAUAGUGACAGGUCAGUUCAAGGACACAGUCCAUAGUGACAGGUCAGUUCAAGGACACAGUCCAUCAUGACAGGUCAGUUCAAGGACACAGUCCAUAGUGACAGGUCAGUUCAAGGACACAGUCCAUCAUGACAGGUCAGUUCAAGGACACAGUCCAUAGUGACAGGUCAGUUCAAGGACACAGUCCAUAGUGACAGGUCAGUUCAAGGACACAGUCCAUCAUGACAGGUCAGUUCAAGGACACAGUCCAUAGUGACAGGUCAGUUCAAGGACACAGUCCAUAGUGACAGGUCAGUUCAAGGACACAGUCCAUAGUGACAGGUCAGUUCAAGGACACAGUCCAUCAUGACAGGUCAGUUCAAGGACACAGUUCAUAGUGACAGGUCAGUUCAAGGACACAGUCCAUCAUGACAGGUCAGUUCAAGGACACAGUCCAUCACGAUAGGUCAGUUCAGGGACACAGUCCAUCAUGAUAGGUCGGUCACAGAGGCAGAGACUUAAGCUGCUGUCACAUUUCAUCCACAGUCAGAAAGCAGAGCUGUUGCUGUUUGUGCUCAGCUCACUUUGUCUUUCUGGUGCAGUCCAUGACCCAAGCUCAGGAGAUGGUUCCCACCUUAAUGAACUUUGCCAAGAUAAUCUCUGACAGGUAAGCCCAGAGGCUCAUCUCUCAAGUGAUUCUAGAUUUCAAAGUUGACAAUUAAGAUUAACCAUCAUAAUAGUGACACAGCAACUAUACAAACUAAUGAUUCCGAUGGCCAAUUAGAAAGCGAUACAGAAAUGCUUCCCCUUAGGAUGGAGGAUUCCCACCACUCACUUUUUCUCUAUUAAAAUGUAUAUAAAGUAUAUUAUCUUAUGGGUGUAUUUUUGGAAAGAGUAUAUACAUGAUAAAUUGUAAAUUAUAUUUCAGAAAGUUAACUGAUCCUUAAACUCACAUUUACCCAAGGAUAGUAGAGUUAAGAAGGCUUUUCUUUAAAAAGGGGAAUGUAGAUUGGGAGAGCAGCAGAACCACUGAGGAUGUUUCCUAAAACACGAGGACAUUUUGUCAAAAGGAAAGAACUGCACUUGGAUGGUGAAGCCCUAACUAGAAGCAUGCAUGACCUGGGAAUGACACAAUCUAAGGCUUAGUUUUCUCAUUCCUAAGGCAGAAACAACCCAGAAAGAACCUUACCUUAUUUUACUUCCUUUUUGGUGUCAAAUGAAUGUGUGUGGCUUUGUAUUGAAACAAAAUGUAACAAAAAAUGUCACAUCUCUAUAUAUUACCUACUAGUUACAGCUUAUUCAGCCCUAAGAACCUAGC
Alexandromys fortis (reed vole) is the source of this 1500-nucleotide long non-coding RNA. RefSeq lists it as uncharacterized. Lineage: Eukaryota; Metazoa; Chordata; Mammalia; Rodentia; Cricetidae. The transcript has 4 exons. The record is from RefSeq and is a predicted model, not a curated record.